RNAcentral lists this RNase P RNA (399 nucleotides) under human gut metagenome. Its description in RNAcentral is "Bacterial RNase P class A". It matches the Rfam family "Bacterial RNase P class A". Rfam says of the family: Ribonuclease P (RNase P) is a ubiquitous endoribonuclease, found in archaea, bacteria and eukarya as well as chloroplasts and mitochondria. Its best characterised activity is the generation of mature 5'-ends of tRNAs by cleaving the 5'-leader elements of precursor-tRNAs. The record is from RNAcentral.
GGUGGCCGGAUAGCUGCGCCGCGGAAAGGAAAAUCCGAGGGUGAGGAAAGUCCGGGCUUCAAGGGAACAAAGCACCAGAUAACGUCUGGCUGAGGAAACUCAAGGGAAAGUGCCGCAGAAAAUUACCGCCUUUCUAUAUGGGAGGUAAGGUUGAAAAGGCGAGGUAAGAGCUCACCGCGGAGAUGGUAACAUCGCCGGCCGGGUAAACCCUGCUUGAAGCAAGACCAAGUUAGGACGGAUUUCAGCAAUGGAGUUCAGAUUAGGAGGGUUCCCACUCCUUCCAGAGGUAGGUCGCACCGAGCCGGAUUGUGAAAUCCGGCCCAGAUGAAUAGCUAUCGUCAUAAAUCUUUGCCUCCGGGUAAAGCAAAUAUGAUACAGAACCCGGCUUAUAGGCUGCCC